Molecule: ribosomal RNA, 432 nt
Filed under: uncultured bacterium
Lineage: Bacteria
Description: partial 16S ribosomal RNA
Rfam family: Bacterial small subunit ribosomal RNA
Source: RNAcentral
AACGAACGCUGGCGGCAUGCCCACCCCUGCCAGUCGCACGAGACCUUCGGGUCUAGUGGCGCACGGGUGCGUAACGCGUGGGAACCUGCCCUUAGGUUCGGAAUAACUCCCCGAAAGGGGUGCUAAUACCGGAUAAUGUCUUCGGACCAAAGAUUUAUCGCCUUUGGAUGGGCCCGCGUUGGAUUAGCUAGUUGGUAGGGUAAAAGCCUACCAAGGCGACGAUCCAUAGCUGGUCUGAGAGGAUGAUCAGCCACACUGGGACUGAGACACGGCCCAGACUCCUACGGGAGGCAGCAGUGGGGAAUAUUGGACAAUGGGCGAAAGCCUGAUCCAGCAAUGCCGCGUGAGUGAUGAAGGCCUUAGGGUUGUAAAGCUCUUUUACCCGGGAUGAUAAUGACAGUACCGGGAGAAUAAGCUCCGGCUAACUCCGUG